Microcebus murinus (gray mouse lemur) is the source of this 3070-nucleotide non-coding RNA. NCBI's taxonomy places the organism in Eukaryota, Metazoa, Chordata, Mammalia, Primates, Cheirogaleidae. The record is from RefSeq and is a predicted model, not a curated record.
GUUUGGCCCAGGGUAACCCGCAGCGGAACUACAACUCCCAGCACCCCAGCACAGUGGCUGCCCGGACUCCCGGAAGUCGGAGGCCAGCCGGGAGGAAGCAGCUGAGACCCCUCCAACAGGCGGGGGUUAAUUUAUCAAGAAAAAGGGGGCGGGAAGGGCUGUAGGGCAUCUGUCAGUUCGCCACCAUGAACGUGGUUUUUGCUGUGAAGCAGUACAUUUCUAAAAUGAUAGAGGACAGCGGGCCCGGCAUGAAAGUACUUCUCAUGGAUAAAGAGACGACUGGCAUAGUGAGUAUGGUAUACACACAAUCGGAGAUUCUUCAGAAGGAAGUGUACCUCUUUGAACGCAUUGAUUCUCAAAAUCGAGAGACCAUGAAACACCUGAAGGCAAUUUGUUUUCUUCGCCCUACGAAGGAGAAUGUGGAUUAUCUGAUCCAGGAGCUCCGAAGACCCAAAUACAGUAUAUAUUUUAUUUAUUUCAGUAAUGUGAUCAGCAAGAGUGACGUGAAGUCAUUGGCUGAAGCUGAUGAGCAGGAAGUUGUGGCUGAGGUUCAGGAAUUUUAUGGUGAUUACAUUGCUGUGAAUCCACAUUUGUUUUCACUCAAUAUUUUGGGUUGCUGCCAGGGUCGAAAUUGGGAUCCAGCCCAGCUAUCUAGAACAACUCAAGGACUCACAGCUCUCCUUUUAUCUCUGAAGAAGUGUCCCAUGAUUCGUUAUCAGCUUUCAUCAGAGUCAGCAAAGAGACUUGCAGAAUGUGUUAAGCAAGUGAUAACUAAAGAAUAUGAACUGUUUGAAUUCCGGCGUACAGAGGUUCCUCCAUUGCUACUUAUUUUAGAUCGCUGCGAUGAUGCCAUCACCCCAUUGCUAAACCAGUGGACAUACCAGGCCAUGGUCCAUGAACUACUGGGCAUAAACAACAAUCGGAUCGAUCUUUCCAGAGUGCCAGGGAUCAGUAAAGACUUAAGAGAGGUGGUCCUAUCUGCUGAAAAUGAUGAAUUCUAUGCUAAUAAUAUGUAUCUGAACUUUGCUGAGAUUGGUAGCAAUAUAAAGAAUCUCAUGGAAGACUUUCAGAAGAGGAAACCAAAAGAACAGCAAAAGCUAGAAUCAAUAGCAGACAUGAAGGCCUUUGUUGAGAAUUAUCCACAGUUUAAGAAGAUGUCUGGGACUGUAUCAAAGCACGUAACAGUGGUUGGAGAACUGUCUCGAUUGGUCAGUGAACGGAAUCUGCUGGAGGUUUCAGAGGUUGAGCAAGAACUGGCCUGUCAAAAUGACCAUUCUAGUGCUCUCCAGAAUGUAAAAAGGCUCCUGCAGAACCCAAAAGUGACAGAGUUUGAUGCUGCCCGCCUGGUGAUGCUUUAUGCUUUACAUUAUGAACGACACAGCAGCAAUAGCCUGCCAGGACUAAUGAUGGACCUCAGGAAUAAAGGUGUUUCUGAGAAGUAUCGAAAGCUCGUGUCUGCAGUUGUUGAGUAUGGUGGUAAACGAGUCAGAGGAAGUGACCUCUUCAGCCCCAAAGAUGCUGUGGCCAUCACUAAACAGUUCCUUAAAGGAUUGAAGGGAGUAGAAAAUGUAUACACACAGCAUCAGCCUUUCCUCCAUGAGACCUUGGAUCAUCUCAUCAAAGGAAAGCUUAAAGAAAACCUAUAUCCUUAUCUAGGCCCAAGCACACUCAGAGACAGCAAGAAAAAACUGGCCAGUAACUGAAGGAGAAGACUUGAAGAAAGAAUACUUGGUAGUGUAGAACACUUCAGUGGUUCAUGGAGACUGGUAAUACUUUUCUACAGGUUUAUGAAAAACCUCUUUUCCUGCAGCCGAAAGCACCAGAUUAAUAAUGAAUUAAUAACUUAGCCUCAGGCUUAUAUCUACUUCAGUGUACUACUAGAGAAAACCACACAAAUUAUAGAUUGGUGCCACCACAAAUUCAUUGUUUCUAACCUUACUUCGGCCUUCAGAGAUACUCAAACUUUUAUGUAUCCCUAGUUCUCUCUGUCUCAUUCUCCACAUCAGUUUUGAAUGUUUUCUCCAUUCUCUCCAAGUCACAUAGCUCACCCCAGUGUUUUCUGCUUCACAGAGAAAAAAAUUGAAUCUGUCAAACAUUAACUCCCUCAAUGUCCAGCCCCAUACUUAUUAAUAUAAACUUAUUUGCAUAUACCCACCUCUACCGCCUUCCUUCAUUCUGAGGGAAGUACAUCCUUUUUCCUAUUUAGAACUAACCUCUCUGCCAGCACUCUUGUUUAUAGACUCCUAUCAUGUUUUUGGAAGUUUUUCUCUGUUGAGUAUUUGCUUCUCUCUCUCCCCACCCUCUUUGUUUCUCUCUCUCUUCCUUCCCCUCUCCCCUUCUGUGUCUUCCACCCCUCCCUGACUUCCUCCCUCCUCCAUAUAUUUUCAGCUUCUUCUUCAUUGACUUCUUUCCUACAGGCUAUAAGCAUACACAAGCUUCCCCAGUUGAACAAAUAAUAAAUUUAAAGCCUUUGAACCUGACUUCUCCAAGCUAUGUACUUCCUUUCACAGCCAAGUGUCUUAGAUUUAGAAGCCCACAGUCACUGUCUUCACUUCUCAGCUCUUCAACCCACAGACCCUGGCUCCUUACUCCACUACCACACACUAAAACUGUUUUUGCUCACACUGGUAAAUCCAUUGGACUCUUUAAAUUCUCACCUUAUUUAUGCCAUUACUGCAUUUAAUACUGUUAACCAUUCUUUUCUUCUUAAAACUCGCUUGUUCCUUGGCUUCUUUCUUCUGGUUCUCCUCCUACCUUUCUGAAAAUGUCCUUCCUAGUUGCUUUGCUGGCUGAUCUUCUUGCUUAUUCUGAAGAUAUUAGGGGCUCACCCAAAAUUCUAUCUUUUGGUUCUCCUUUCAUUUUAUAGGAUCUCCCUAGGGAAAACUCAUCUAUUCCUAUGGCUUCAGUUACCACCUAUAUUCAGGAAAAGCACCAGGACUGAAAAUCCAGAUAUCUAGUAGACAUCUCCAUUAGGAUAUUCCACAGACCUCAGGAUAUCAUUAUAUUUGUAAUUGGAGGAGCCACCUAUGAAGAGGCUCUAACGAUUUAUAACCUGAACCGUACUACUCCU